Molecule: ribosomal RNA, 335 nt
Filed under: uncultured archaeon
Lineage: Archaea
Description: bacterial SSU rRNA
Rfam family: Archaeal small subunit ribosomal RNA
Source: RNAcentral
AUUCUGGUUGAUCCUGCCGGAGACACCGCUAUCAGGUUACGACUAAGCCAUGCGAGCGCGAGUGCAAGACUCGCCGCACUGCUGAGUAACACGUAGUUAACCUGCCCUGAGGUGGGGGAUAAUCUCGCGAAAGUGAGGCUAAUACCCCAUAGUUUUGGAUACUGGAAUGUUCCAAAGAUGAAACCCACGGGGCCUCAGAUGGGACUGCGGGUAUCAGCAGUUGUCAGGGUAAACACCUGACAAACCGAUAACGCGUAGGGGCUAUGAGAGUAGGAGCCUCCAGAUGCCCUCUGAGACAUGAGGGCAGGGCCCUACCCGGNCGCCGGNNUUCAGGC